UGCAAGUCGAACGAACUCUGGGUAUUGAUUGGUGCUUGCAUCAUGAUUUACAUUUGAGUGAGUGGCGAACUGGUGAGUAACACGUGGGAAACCUGCCCAGAAGCGGGGGAUAACACCUGGAAACAGAUGCUAAUACCGCAUAACAACUUGGACCGCAUGGUCCGAGUUUGAAAGAUGGCUUCGGCUAUCACUUUUGGAUGGUCCCGCGGCGUAUUAGCUAGAUGGUGGGGUAACGGCUCACCAUGGCAAUGAUACGUAGCCGACCUGAGAGGGUAAUCGGCCACAUUGGGACUGAGACACGGCCCAAACUCCUACGGGAGGCAGCAGUAGGGAAUCUUCCACAAUGGACGAAAGUCUGAUGGAGCAACGCCGCGUGAGUGAAGAAGGGUUUCGGCUCGUAAAACUCUGUUGUUAAAGAAGAACAUAUCUGAGAGUAACUGUUCAGGUAUUGACGGUAUUUAACCAGAAAGCCACGGCUAACUACGUGCCAGCAGCCGCGGUAAUACGUAGGUGGCAAGCGUUGUCCGGAUUUAUUGGGCGUAAAGCGAGCGCAGGCGGUUUUUUAAGUCUGAUGUGAAAGCCUUCGGCUCAACCGAAGAAGUGCAUCGGAAACUGGGAAACUUGAGUGCAGAAGAGGACAGUGGAACUCCAUGUGUAGCGGUGAAAUGCGUAGAUAUAUGGAAGAACACCAGUGGCGAAGGCGGCUGUCUGGUCUGUAACUGACGCUGAGGCUCGAAAGUAUGGGUAGCAAACAGGAUUAGAUACCCUGGUAGUCCAUACCGUAAACGAUGAAUGCUAAGUGUUGGAGGGUUUCCGCCCUUCAGUGCUGCAGCUAACGCAUUAAGCAUUCCGCCUGGGGAGUACGGCCGCAAGGCUGAAACUCAAAGGAAUUGACGGGGGCCCGCACAAGCGGUGGAGCAUGUGGUUUAAUUCGAAGCUACGCGAAGAACCUUACCAGGUCUUGACAUACUAUGCAAAUCUAAGAGAUUAGACGUUCCCUUCGGGGACAUGGAUACAGGUGGUGCAUGGUUGUCGUCAGCUCGUGUCGUGAGAUGUUGGGUUAAGUCCCGCAACGAGCGCAACCCUUAUUAUCAGUUGCCAGCAUUAAGUUGGGCACUCUGGUGAGACUGCCGGUGACAAACCGGAGGAAGGUGGGGAUGACGUCAAAUCAUCAUGCCCCUUAUGACCUGGGCUACACACGUGCUACAAUGGAUGGUACAACGAGUUGCGAACUCGCGAGAGUAAGCUAAUCUCUUAAAGCCAUUCUCAGUUCGGAUUGUAGGCUGCAACUCGCCUACAUGAAGUCGGAAUCGCUAGUAAUCGCGGAUCAGCAUGCCGCGGUGAAUACGUUCCCGGGCCUUGUACACACCGCCCGUCACACCAUGAGAGUUUGUAACACCCAAAGUCGGUGGGGUAACCUUUUAGGAACC
RNAcentral lists this ribosomal RNA (1430 nucleotides) under Lactiplantibacillus plantarum. Its description in RNAcentral is "bacterial SSU rRNA". It matches the Rfam family "Bacterial small subunit ribosomal RNA". Lineage: Bacteria; Bacillati; Bacillota; Bacilli; Lactobacillales; Lactobacillaceae. The record is from RNAcentral.